AAAUAACCCCUUUUUUUUAUCAAAAUAAGUAAUCAUAUUGAUCAGAUUGUACGCUUACUUUUCUCUCUCCCCCUUACCUUGUUUUAUAUUUCAGUGACCGUUGGUACUUUUGGGCCGGGAAACGCCCUGCUUUCGAAGAAAUCCGGUCACGCUCAACGGAAAUUCAAUUACUCCAAAACAACACUCCCCCAAAUUGAAAGCAUCACCUCACCUACUUCACCGCCCACUCGAUUCUAAGACCAAGUAUUAUUAUAACAACUGCUAACAUUUUCUUGUUCUAGUUCCUGGCAAAUCUUUUUAUGUUAUAUAUAUAUAUAUAUAUAUAUAUAUAUAUAUUAUUAGAUUACUUUUGUGUUACUAUAAUCAUUUGUAGAUUAUUUUCUUAGUUAAAGCUGUCUCUUACAAAUGGCUACGUGAGGUCUUGUCCUUCGGAUUUAGGGGCGGGCAAGCACAUGAAGGUUAAUGCUUGAGUAAAGAGAACCUUUAAGCUUAGAUUCGGGAGCUGGAAUGUGGGUACCCUUACUUCUGCGGUUUCGGGUUGUAAUCUAGAGGUUUAAUAGCACUAAACUUAUUACCAUUUCGAACAUCACUGUUCAGGAGCUUGACUCGUCACCCUCGCGCUUUUCGACUCUUCUUACUGAAGCUCGUAACUCGGAUACCGUCAUAAUCUCAUUACCACUCUAAGGUAACUAGUAUGUUGGAUUAUCAUGGAGCAAAGUAGGAAACUCGUAUGGAUCGUUCAAGAGUCUGGCACUAGUUAAUAAAAAUAAGCUCCUAUGUAAUUUGAAAUUACCAUUAUUGUAGAAGUUACGAUUUAAAGACAUUAUUAUGUUUAAUAAAUAAAAACGACACGCUUAGUGGUCGUUCUCUUGUA
Molecule: long non-coding RNA, 874 nt
Organism: Erigeron canadensis
Lineage: Eukaryota; Viridiplantae; Streptophyta; Magnoliopsida; Asterales; Asteraceae
Exons: 5
Source: RefSeq, a predicted model, not a curated record